This is a non-coding RNA of Trichonephila clavata, 64 nucleotides long. NCBI's taxonomy places the organism in Eukaryota, Metazoa, Arthropoda, Arachnida, Araneae, Nephilidae. The record is from the annotation of a GenBank genome assembly.
GUAGCGCAAUGGAUAGCAUGUUGGAUUUCUAAUUCAAAGGUCGUGGGUUCGAAUUCUACUUACA